Molecule: ribosomal RNA, 484 nt
Filed under: uncultured bacterium
Lineage: Bacteria
Description: partial 16S ribosomal RNA
Rfam family: Bacterial small subunit ribosomal RNA
Source: RNAcentral
AUUGAACGCUGGCGGCAGGCCUAACACAUGCCAGUCGAGCGGAUGAAGGGAGCUUGCUCCUGGAUUCAGCGGCGGACGGGUGAGUAAUGCCUAGGAAUCUGCCUGGUAGUGGGGGAUAACGUCCGGAAACGGGCGCUAAUACCGCAUACGUCCUGAGGGAGAAAGUGGGGGAUCUUCGGACCUCACGCUAUCAGAUGAGCCUAGGUCGGAUUAGCUAGUUGGUGGGGUAAAGGCCUACCAAGGCGACGAUCCGUAACUGGUCUGAGAGGAUGAUCAGUCACACUGGAACUGAGACACGGUCCAGACUCCUACGGGGGGCAGCAGUGGGGUAUAUUGGACAAUGGGCGAAAGCCUGAUCCAGCCAUGCCGCGUGUGUGAAGACGGUCUUCGGAUUGUAAAGCACUUUAAGUUGGGAGGAAGGGCAGUAAGUUAAUACCUUGCUGUUUUGACGUUACCAACAGAAUAAGCACCGGCUAACUUCGUG